Molecule: ribosomal RNA, 308 nt
Filed under: uncultured bacterium
Lineage: Bacteria
Description: bacterial SSU rRNA
Rfam family: Bacterial small subunit ribosomal RNA
Source: RNAcentral
ACUCCUACGGGAGGCAGCAGUAGGGAAUUUUCCGCAAUGGACGAAAGUCUGACGGAGCAAUGCCGCGUGAGUGAUGAAGGUUUUCGAAUUGUAAAGGCUCUGUUGUAAGGGAAGAAUAGCAAGAUAGGAAAUGAUUCUUGUCUGACGGUACCUUACCAGAAAGCCACGGCUAACUACGUGCCAGCAGCCGCGGUAAUACGUAGGUGGCAAGCGUUAUCCGGAAUUAUUGGGCGUAAAGCGCAUGAGGCGGCUUUUUUAAGUCUGAUGUGAAAGCCAGUGGCUCAACCACUGAAUUGCAUUGGUACUGG